AUUGAACGCUGGCGGCAUGCCUUACACAUGCAAGUCGAACGGCAGCACGGUUGCUUGCUCCUGUUACCGAGUGCCGAACGGGUGAGUAUUACAUCUGCACAUGUCCUUUCGUUUUGGAUGGGCAGGCGAAAGCGGGAUUAAUACUGCAUACGAACUACGCCUGAAGGCGGGGGCAGUUGAGCUUUGGCCCUUUAGCGUUUGCCGAUGCCGGAUUAGCUAGUUGGUGGGGUAAAGGCCUACCAAGGCGACGAUCAGUAGCUGGUCUGAGAGGACGAGCAGCCACACUGGGACUGAGACACGGCCCAGACUCCUACGGGAGGCAGCAGUGGGGAAUUUUGGACAAUGGGCGAAAGCCUGAUCCAGCAAUGCCGCGUGUGUGAAGAAGGCCUUCGGGUUGUAAAGCACUUUUGUCCGGAAAGAAAACCAGCGCCCUAAUACGGUCGGGUGAUGACGGUACCGGAAGAAUAAGCACCGGCUAACUACGUG
Molecule: ribosomal RNA, 486 nt
Filed under: uncultured bacterium
Lineage: Bacteria
Description: partial 16S ribosomal RNA
Rfam family: Bacterial small subunit ribosomal RNA
Source: RNAcentral